CUUAAGUCCCACAUAUCAGCCUAGAUUCAACUUUUAGGUUUGCCAAAAUAUUCCUGAAGUUUUUGUUCACAAUUAAAUUGUAGCAAAACUUGCACUAGGGAGUCUUCUCUUUCCCCAAACUAAAUUCACCACUAUCUUUAACAUCUAAAGAGACCCCAUCCUCCGAAAUGUCAUCUUUAGAAAAGCUAUCUAGGUGGCUUUGUAAUUCUGUCGAACACCUUGAAUUUAGGACAUGAUUUUAACCGCCUCUCAAACCCCUUUGCCAACCUAGUCCAUUAGCCAAACAAGCAUGUCCUCAAGAACCUUUUUUACCCUAAACCAUGACCCUGUUAAAUUUUAAUUGCAUCAAAUCUCCUUAAGCUAUCUUAGCAUUUUGUAGAGCAG
RNAcentral lists this long non-coding RNA (384 nucleotides) under Hordeum vulgare. RNAcentral's name for it is "long non-coding RNA (HVUL_LNC018524)". The record is from RNAcentral. Lineage: Eukaryota; Viridiplantae; Streptophyta; Magnoliopsida; Poales; Poaceae.